CGGGGAUCAAACUUGGGACCUUGCGCUUUCAAGGCAGGCGGCAGCACCACUGAGCUAAAUCCCUGGAGCAUCUGCCUUUAAAUGAUAAGAAAUUUAAUUAUUUUAUCAAAGUAUUUAUCAAAGUAUCCACUUUUUUCACUUUUCCCCCUGAACAGUUACUAUUUUUCUUCUUGCAAUCCAUAAGGAACCUGUAGAGCAAUAAUUAGAAACCAGGAAGGACUGUCAGGACCUGUUCUCAAAUACAAUGAUCUCAUUUGUGGUGAUGAUGACGAGCCUAACACGUAUCAUAGUGAUGACUAUUUUAUGAUAUUUACCCAAAAGGCCAAAUACAGAGGAGUGCAAGAGAUUAGCCACACACUAGAGGCCCAAAGAAUCCAGCCAAGGGUCUGGAUCCCACAGCAAUGUCCCACACAAGUCCAGCUGAAGGACUACAGUCCAAGGCCACAUCCUCAGUGGGUCCACCCGGUGGCCUGGAGCUCACAGCAAUGUCUCAUGCUUGUGUAUAUUGAGGAUGUGCACCUGAAAGGCCCAAAGGUCAGUGGUAAAAGACAGAAAACUUAUGCCAGUGG
This 569-nucleotide long non-coding RNA is filed under the name Heterocephalus glaber (naked mole-rat). Its description in RNAcentral is "lncRNA (ENSHGLG00000049982.1)". The record is from RNAcentral. Lineage: Eukaryota; Metazoa; Chordata; Mammalia; Rodentia; Bathyergidae.